Non-coding RNA from Merluccius polli (Benguela hake), 70 nucleotides. The record is from the annotation of a GenBank genome assembly. NCBI's taxonomy places the organism in Eukaryota, Metazoa, Chordata, Actinopteri, Gadiformes, Merlucciidae.
UACCUCAACUGGUGAGAGAAAGGCAUUAACGUUGCCAGGGUUAGGGGUUCGAUUCCCACUGGCACCCCCA